RNAcentral lists this ribosomal RNA (531 nucleotides) under Fusarium cf. solani IPBCC 08.570. RNAcentral describes it as "eukaryotic LSU rRNA". The stretch from base 153 to 306 matches the Rfam family "5.8S ribosomal RNA". Lineage: Eukaryota; Fungi; Ascomycota; Sordariomycetes; Hypocreales; Nectriaceae. The record is from RNAcentral.
UACCGAGUUAUUCAACUCAUCAACCCUGUGAACAUACCUAAACGUUGCUUCGGCGGGAAUAGACGGCCCCGUAAGACGGGCCGCCCCCGCCAGAGGACCCUUAACUCUGUUUCUAUAAUGUUUCUUCUGAGUAAAACAAGCAAAUAAAUUAAAACUUUCAACAACGGAUCUCUUGGCUCUGGCAUCGAUGAAGAACGCAGCGAAAUGCGAUAAGUAAUGUGAAUUGCAGAAUUCAGUGAAUCAUCGAAUCUUUGAACGCACAUUGCGCCCGCCAGUAUUCUGGCGGGCAUGCCUGUUCGAGCGUCAUUACAACCCUCAGGCCCCCGGGCCUGGCGUUGGGGAUCGGCGGAGCCCCCCGUGGGCACGCGCCGUCCCCCAAAUACAGUGGCGGUCCCGCCGCAGCUUCCAUCGCGUAGUAGCUAACACCUCGCGACUGGAGAGCGGCGCGGCCACGCCGUAAAACACCCAACUCUUCUGAAGUUGACCUCGAAUCAGGUAGGAAUACCCGCUGAACUUAAGCAUAUCAAUAAG